GCUAGCUCAAUCGGUAGAGCGUGAGACUCUUAAUCUCAAGGUUGUGGGUUCGACCCGUAAGUUCAAACAUCGCACCAGCA
This 80-nucleotide transfer RNA is filed under the name Colletotrichum tofieldiae. RNAcentral's name for it is "tRNA-Lys". The stretch from base 3 to 58 matches the Rfam family "tRNA", at positions 8 to 63 of the family's 71-position model. Rfam says of the family: Transfer RNA (tRNA) molecules are approximately 80 nucleotides in length. Their secondary structure includes four short double-helical elements and three loops (D, anti-codon, and T loops). Further hydrogen bonds mediate the characteristic L-shaped molecular structure. tRNAs have two regions of fundamental functional importance: the anti-codon, which is responsible for specific mRNA codon recognition, and the 3' end, to which the tRNAs corresponding amino acid is attached (by aminoacyl-tRNA synthetases). tRNAs cope with the degeneracy of the genetic code in two manners: having more than one tRNA (with a specific anti-codon) for a particular amino acid; and 'wobble' base-pairing, i.e. permitting non-standard base-pairing at the 3rd anti-codon position. Lineage: Eukaryota; Fungi; Ascomycota; Sordariomycetes; Glomerellales; Glomerellaceae. The record is from RNAcentral.